CCCUUAGAUGUUCUGGGCCGCACGCGUGCUACACUGAGUGGAUCAGCGGGUCAGGUUGCGCGAAAGUGUUUCCUAAUCUUGAAAUCCGCUCGUGAUGGGGAUUGACGGUUGCAAUUUUCCGUCAUGAACGCGGAAUACCUUGUAAGCGCGGGUCAUCAUCCCGCGCUGAAUACGUCCCUGCCCUUUGUACACACCGCCCGUCGCUCCUACCGAUUGAGUGGUCCGGUGAGGCUUUGGGAUCUGAGCGGAAAGAGCGUUUCGCUGUUUCUGCUCGGAAAACUCAGUCGAACCUUAUCAUUUAGAGGAAGGAGAAGUCGUAACA
This 322-nucleotide ribosomal RNA is filed under the name uncultured eukaryote. RNAcentral's name for it is "partial 18S ribosomal RNA". It matches the Rfam family "Eukaryotic small subunit ribosomal RNA", at positions 1470 to 1796 of the family's 1831-position model. The record is from RNAcentral.